AUCGUCCUGCUGGCAUCUGAGGAAGUGGAAGGACACAAAGAGAAGGAAUUGAGGAGUUGGGAUAGCUUCCAUCAUAACAAGAAGUACAAAGCUGAAAACUGAAAGUCAGCAGCUCUUCUGGAAUCUUGAGAUAACAUGUCAAGCCACUGCCCUCCAAAGCAAAGGUGGACAAGUAGAUACAGAGGUUCCCAGCUCCUGUGAACAGAAACCCCAAUGUCAGCCCUAGCCAGGAUCCAAAUGUGUAACUGAUGAAGGGCGAGAGGCUCGAUGGAUAAAGAACACAGAUGAGAUGCCUGGUAGUGUGACAACCACAGAAUGGCUAAGCAACAACGAAUUACUGAAAUUAAAGAAUCAGAGCUAGAAUUUAACACAUGGGAAUUGUGCUUGCAAGUGAAUGCAGGAAGGUUAAUGGUGAACACGAGAAAGCAGCCCAGAAGGUCACUGUUUUGUCCUUCAUAGUGCUCAUUAGUGCCCGAGAAAUCUGUGUCAGAGACCUGUGGACCUGAGAGGACAGCAUCAGUUCAAAAUCUGGGAACUGUCCCAAGCAUGUAUUGGGAUGCAAAUUAAUUUGAGCCUUGUUUCCCCUGCUCUUGCCACUGGGAGCGCAUUGGGUGGGAAGGUUAAUUCAGUGCAGCCUUAUCUCCCGUGGGCACUGCCGGGGAGCCUUGGAAUCAUUUUGUUUCUCAUCUCUGAAAAUGGAAUGUGCUUUGCCUCACUGAUGAGUAGGGGAGGAAAGAGGUCAACCUGGAGAGAUUAGGAUGCCUACCAAGGCUCCCUGUGCUGCAAGGGGUUAUUAAGGAUCCCAGAAGUGAGAGGCUGCAGUUAGUUUUAGUUCUGAGGAGCUGUGUCUGUAAGGCUUUCUGUGCAGCUGUAGGACAUUGCCGAAGUCCCCCUUUCCUGACUGCUGCUUCCAAAGAGAACAUCCACACAUGAGCAUGUAUCUGACACUGAAGACAACCAAGAUCCAGUUCAGCCAAAGGGAAAUAAAAUGCAUACACUUUUCAAGC
Molecule: long non-coding RNA, 1007 nt
Filed under: Mus spretus (western wild mouse)
Lineage: Eukaryota; Metazoa; Chordata; Mammalia; Rodentia; Muridae
Description: lncRNA (ENSMSPG00010027904.1)
Source: RNAcentral